This 621-nucleotide non-coding RNA is filed under the name Pongo abelii (Sumatran orangutan). Lineage: Eukaryota; Metazoa; Chordata; Mammalia; Primates; Hominidae. The record is from RNAcentral.
AUUAUUCACAACAGCCAAGAUGUAGAGGUGAUUCAAAUGUCCAUCAGUGAAUGAAUAGAUAAAGAAAUGUGGCAUAUACAUACAAUGGAAUCUUAGCAUAAAAAAGAAAGAAUUCCUGUCAUAUGCUACAGCAUAGAUGAACCUUGAGGACCUUAUAUCCGAGGAUGAACACACAAGAGAUUCACAGGAACAAACCAGACCACUGACUUGCUGCACCGAAGUUGCAAUACUUCUGAGACGUAGAUCUCCUUAUUAAUCUAGCUGAGUGUUUUGUUACCUGCAGCACAGAAACACUUUCCCUGAAAAACAGAUACAACUUUUAAAGCAUAAUUUUUAUUCUUUAGGUAGUCUGAUCCCACCCCACAGGCCUUGGAAGCCUGAGGCAGUAUUCUUCUGGGAUAUUUCCAACUAGGCUUCCCAUGAGCAUGUUAGAGCCAGCCUAGCUGGUGAAUUUUACUUCUGUCACCUCUCAGAGGGAAGAGGUCUGAGAGGCUCAGGCCUCUUCCAGCUUUUGAGGAUUCCAGCAUAGUAGAAACAUAAAAAGGUCCAAAGAGAAUUACAAAAAUCAUCUAAGUUCUUAUACUUAACACGUCAAUGCUUACUAAAAAAAUCAAUCAAUCA